AUUGAACGCUGGCGGCGUGCCUAACACAUGCAAGUCGAGCGGUAACAGGGUGUAGCAAUACAUGCUGACGAGCGGCGAACGGGUGAGUAAUGCUUUGGGAAUCUUCCCAGUAGUGGGGAAUAACCAGUCGAAAGAUUGGCUAAUACCGCAUACGUCUGUAAAGGGAAAGCGGGGGACUCGCCUCUUCUUCGGAAGAGAGGCCUCGCGCUAUUGGAUGAGCCAAAGCGGAUUAGCUAGUUGGUGGGGUAAUGGCCUACCAAGGCGACAAUCCGUAGCUGGUCUGAGAGGACGACCAGCCACACCGGAACUGAGACACGGUCCGGACUCCUACGGGGGCAGCAGUGGGGAAUAUUGGACAAUGGGGAAACCCUGAUCCAGCGACGCCGCGUGUGU
Molecule: ribosomal RNA, 393 nt
Filed under: uncultured bacterium
Lineage: Bacteria
Description: bacterial SSU rRNA
Rfam family: Bacterial small subunit ribosomal RNA
Source: RNAcentral